UACGGAGGGGGCUAGCGUUGUUCGGAAUUACUGGGCGUAAAGCGCACGUAGGCGGCUUUGUAAGUUAGAGGUGAAAGCCCGGGGCUCAACUCCGGAAUUGCCUUUAAGACUGCAUCGCUCGAAUUGUGGAGAGGUAAGUGGAAUUCCGAGUGUAGAGGUGAAAUUCGUAGAUAUUCGGAAGAACACCAGUGGCGAAGGCGACUUACUGGACACAUAUUGACGCUGAGGUGCGAAAGCGUGGGGGGCAAACAGG
This 253-nucleotide ribosomal RNA is filed under the name uncultured bacterium. Its description in RNAcentral is "partial 16S ribosomal RNA". It matches the Rfam family "Bacterial small subunit ribosomal RNA", at positions 524 to 776 of the family's 1533-position model. The record is from RNAcentral.